Molecule: ribosomal RNA, 657 nt
Filed under: Pseudocyphellaria crocata
Lineage: Eukaryota; Fungi; Ascomycota; Lecanoromycetes; Peltigerales; Lobariaceae
Description: SSU rRNA
Rfam family: Bacterial small subunit ribosomal RNA
Source: RNAcentral
AAGAAACAAAUGUUUGUAUUCGCUCUAAGAAUUUUUUAUCUCGUGUWGUAGUAGUUAAGGUAAAAUUAGAACUAGCUUUAUAGAAUACACGUAGUCGAAACUGAAAGGUUGAUCGAUCACAAUGUGGCCUGAACAAAGCCCAUGACAAAAGUAGCAGCAGUGAGGAAUAUUGGUCAAUAGCCUAACGGCUGAACCAGCAACUUGGAGGAAAGUAAAGCAAUUGCUGAUUACAUUUAAUCUUUUAUAAGAUUUAGAGCUUGGUGUAAUUACUACUUAGUAGUUUAAAUUUCGAGGUAGAAUAUGAUGAUGACAUUUUCUAUCUUUAUGUCUUGACCAAAUUACGUGCCAGCAGUCGCGGUAAUACGUAGAAGACGAGUGUUAUUCAUCUUUAUUAGGUUUAAAGGGUACCAAGACGGUUAAUAAAGCCCAGAAUAUAUUAAAACAAGGGGACACAUUGACUAGAGUUAUAUGAAAGGAAGCUCUAAGGUACUGUUGAGUGUAGAGAUGAAAUUCUGUCAUACCAGAUGAGUGGCACAGAUUUAUGCGAAGGCAUCUUCUUAUGUAAUAACUGACGUUGUAAGACGAAGGCUUUUGAAGUGAACAGGAUUAGAUACCCCAGUAAUCUUAGCAGAAAAUGAUGAAUGUCAUAGGUUAAUC